Molecule: ribosomal RNA, 465 nt
Filed under: uncultured Klebsiella sp.
Lineage: Bacteria; Pseudomonadati; Pseudomonadota; Gammaproteobacteria; Enterobacterales; Enterobacteriaceae
Description: bacterial SSU rRNA
Rfam family: Bacterial small subunit ribosomal RNA
Source: RNAcentral
CCUACGGGUGGCUGCAGUGGGGAAUAUUGCACAAUGGGCGCAAGCCUGAUGCAGCCAUGCCGCGUGUGUGAAGGAGGCCUUCGGGUUGUAAAGCACUUUCAGCGGGGAGGAAGGCGUUAAGGUUAAUAACCUUGGCGAUUGACGUUACCCGCAGAAGAAGCACCGGCUAACUCCGUGCCAGCAGCCGCGGUAAUACGGAGGGUGCAAGCGUUAAUCGGAAUUACUGGGCGUAAAGCGCACGCAGGCGGUCUGUCAAGUCGGAUGUGAAAUCCCCGGGCUCAACCUGGGAACUGCAUUCGAAACUGGCAGGCUAGAGUCUUGUAGAGGGGGGUAGAAUUCCAGGUGUAGCGGUGAAAUGCGUAGAGAUCUGGAGGAAUACCGGUGGCGAAGGCGGCCCCCUGGACAAAGACUGACGCUCAGGUGCGAAAGCGUGGGGAGCAAACAGGAUUAGAUACCCUAGUAGUC